AAGCUCGUAGUUGAAUUUCGGGGUUCUACCGUUGGUCGGGCUAACCAGUCUGUACUAGCGUGUAGAAUUCUUACCUUCUGGGGAACCAUCAUGUUAUUAAUUUAGCGUGGUGGGAAACCAGGACCUUUACCUUGAAAAAAUUAGAGUGUUCAAAGCAAGGCUUACGUCUGAAUACAUUAGCAUGGAAUAAUAAAAUAGGACGGUGGUCCUGUUUUGUUGGUUUCUGAAUCACCGUAAUGAUUAAUAGGGAUAGUUGGG
RNAcentral lists this ribosomal RNA (258 nucleotides) under uncultured Scutellospora. RNAcentral describes it as "partial 18S ribosomal RNA". It matches the Rfam family "Eukaryotic small subunit ribosomal RNA", at positions 624 to 886 of the family's 1831-position model. The record is from RNAcentral. Lineage: Eukaryota; Fungi; Glomeromycota; Glomeromycetes; Diversisporales; Gigasporaceae.